This 305-nucleotide ribosomal RNA is filed under the name uncultured bacterium. RNAcentral describes it as "bacterial SSU rRNA". It matches the Rfam family "Bacterial small subunit ribosomal RNA", at positions 337 to 640 of the family's 1533-position model. The record is from RNAcentral.
CCCUACGGGGGGCAGCAGUGAGGAAUAUUGGUCAAUGGGCGAGAGCCUGAACCAGCCAAGUCGCGUGAGGGAUGACGGCCCUAUGGGUUGUAAACUUCUUUUAUAUGGGAGUAAAAUGCUCCACGCGUGGGGUUUUGUAUGUACCAUAUGAAAAAGGAUCGGCUAACUCCGUGCCAGCAGCCGCGGUAAUACGGAGGAUCCGAGCGUUAUCCGGAUUUAUUGGGUUUAAAGGGAGCGUAGGCGGAUUGUUAAGUCAGUUGUGAAAGUUUGCGGCUCAACCGCAACAUUGCAGUUGAACUGGGAAG